AACGAACGCUGGCGGCAUGCCUAACACAUGCAAGUCGAACGAGACCUUCGGGUCUAGUGGCGCACGGGUGCGUAACGCGUGGGAACCUGCCCUUAGGUUCGGAAUAACUCCCCGAAAGGGGUGCUAAUACCGGAUAAUGUCUUCGGACCAAAGAUUUAUCGCCUUUGGAUGGGCCCGCGUUGGAUUAGCUAGUUGGUAGGGUAAAAGCCUACCAAGGCGACGAUCCAUAGCUGGUCUGAGAGGAUGAUCAGCCACACUGGGACUGAGACACGGCCCAGACUCCUACGGGAGGCAGCAGUGGGUAAUAUUGGAAAAUGGGCGAAAGGCUGAUCCAGCAAUGCCGGGUGAGUGAUGAAGGCCUGAGGGUUGUAAAGCUCUUUUACCCGGGAUGAUAAUGACAGUACCGGGAGAAUAAGCUCCGGCUAACUCCGUG
RNAcentral lists this ribosomal RNA (433 nucleotides) under uncultured bacterium. RNAcentral describes it as "partial 16S ribosomal RNA". It matches the Rfam family "Bacterial small subunit ribosomal RNA", at positions 29 to 507 of the family's 1533-position model. The record is from RNAcentral.